This 381-nucleotide ribosomal RNA is filed under the name Triticum aestivum (bread wheat). RNAcentral's name for it is "partial small subunit ribosomal RNA". The record is from RNAcentral. Lineage: Eukaryota; Viridiplantae; Streptophyta; Magnoliopsida; Poales; Poaceae.
AUGGGCCUAUACAUAAUAAAUUUGUGGACGAUUUUGCCCUUUGGUCUUUUCUGUCCGGUCAACAGUUUCGAUCGGAGACAGAUGAUUCAGAACCAGGAGAACAUCGAAACAGAGGAACAAAACAUAAAACAGCCAGCCGCCAUCUCGCCGUGGUUCCUCCCCGAGGACCGUGACCUCGUCGCGCCUCCUAUCCCGCGUUGCCCGUUCCUGUGGCGGAGGCGCCACCGUCCGCCGCCCUUCGACCGCUCCCUGUCGUGCCGGAGAAGAAGGGCGCCGCCGUACGCCGCACUCCGCUGCUUCCUCACCGUGCGGGAGAAGAAUGGCGCCGCCACUUCAAGCCCCCUGCAGCGUGUGGCAGUCCAAGUCACUUCGUGGCCGUAG